CCCAGGGACACAAAAACUGCGGAAGGCCGCAGGGACCUCUGCCUAGGAAAGCCAGUCUCUCGUUCCACCUUAUGAGAAACACCCACAGGUGUGGAGGGGCAACCCACCCCUACAGAAGGGGCCACUGGGGCAGGGAAGAGACAGAUGUUGGAUUUUAGAGGAUCCGGUAAAGGAUGCUACUCUUCUCCAUCCAAGUUUGAAAGCGACUGAGAGAGACACACAACAGUCAGACAGAGAGAGAUCAAAAUAUUUUCCUGUGACUUAAGAGCAAUGGCCAAGCUGGCUUCCUGCUAUCCUACCCUUGAACUUGACAUUCACCCACUGAAAAUGCCCAGUCCCUGGCUCAGUGGGGAUACCAGAGGCUGCUAACUGCCAGGCAGCAACAGACCAAUAAAGGCUUCCAAAAGAGAUGGUGCGCUGGGCUGGGCAUGCCCAGGAGCUCCUCCCACGCUUGGCCAUCAGGUAAGUCACUUCUCUGCAGGGGAGAAGGAGGGAGUGAACACAUGGCGUUGCUGUAAUUCAAUGGACACUUCCCCAUGGAAGCACCAUGAUGUCGGGGAGGGAGGGGAGGAAGGAAGGGCGGUGCUCAGAGGGGAGGAAAGCUGUGACCCGAGGUGCCAUUGCCUGGUUAAUGUUCUUGGCAAGUCCUGGAUGGGGCAGGAGCUGAAAGAGGAAGCUGAGGCCACAGGAAGCUGUCAGAGCCCGGGACUAUGCCAAGAACUUCUCUACUUUAAAAUAACUUUUGGCUGGGUGUGAUAGCUCAUGUCUGUAACCCCAACACUUUGGGAGGCUGAGGCAGGUAGGUUGCUUAAGGUCAGGAGUUCGAGACCAGCCUGACCGACAUGGUGAAACCCCGUCUCUACUAAAAAUGCAAAAAUUAGCUGGGCGUGAUGGCAUGCACCUGU
This 905-nucleotide long non-coding RNA is filed under the name Homo sapiens (human). RNAcentral's name for it is "HSALNT0175877". Lineage: Eukaryota; Metazoa; Chordata; Mammalia; Primates; Hominidae. The record is from RNAcentral.